AUGUACUUUCAUGGGGCCCGUUUUUCCAAUUAUGAAGCAUGGCUAAGUGAUCCUACUCACAUUGGACCCGGUGCUCAGGUAGUUUGGCCUAUAGUAGGGCAAGAAAUAUUGAAUGGUGAUGUAGGCGGGGGUUUCCGAGGAAUCCAAAUAACCUCUGGGUUUUUUCAGCUUUGGCGAGCAUCUGGAAUAACUAGUGAAUUACAACUCUAUUAUACUGCAAUUGGUGCAUUGAUUUUUGCAGCGUUAAUGCUUUUUGCUGGUUGGUUCCAUUAUCACAAAGCCGCUCGCAAAUUGGCCUGGUUCCAAGAUGUAGAAUCCAUGUUGAAUCACCACUUAGCGGGAUUAUUAGGACUUGGGUCUCUUUCUUGGGCGGGGCACCAAAUUCUAGCAAGAAUUAUUGCUGUAGGAUAG
RNAcentral lists this ribosomal RNA (411 nucleotides) under Triticum aestivum (bread wheat). Its description in RNAcentral is "partial small subunit ribosomal RNA". The record is from RNAcentral. Lineage: Eukaryota; Viridiplantae; Streptophyta; Magnoliopsida; Poales; Poaceae.